UGGGGAAUAUUGCGCAAUGGGCGAAAGCCUGACGCAGCGACGCCGUGUGGGUGAUGAAGGCCUUCGGGUCGUAAAACCCUGUCGGGUGGAACGAAUCUCCAUCCUGCAAAUAGUGGGGUGGAUUGACGGUACCACCGAAGGAAGCCCCGGCUAACUACGUGCCAGCAGCCGCGGUAAUACGUAGGGGGCGAGCGUUGUUCGGAUUUAAUGGGCGUAAAGCGCGUGUAGGCGGUCCUGCAAGACGGAUGCGAAAGCCCCGGGCUUAACCCGGGAAGGGCAUUGGAAACUGCAGGUCUUGAGUACGGGUGAGGAUGGGGGAAUUCCCGGUGUAGAGGUGAAAUUCGUAGAUAUCGGGAGGAACACCAGUGGCGAAGGCGGUUUCCGGGUCUGAUACUGACGCUGAGGCGCGAAAGUGUGGGGAGCAAACA
Molecule: ribosomal RNA, 428 nt
Filed under: uncultured prokaryote
Description: bacterial SSU rRNA
Rfam family: Bacterial small subunit ribosomal RNA
Source: RNAcentral